GUGAAUCAUCAAAUUUUUGAACGCAAAUUGCACUCUCUGGUAAUCCGGAGAGUAUGCCUGUUUGAGGGUCAGUUUAAAUAAAAAUCGUUUUGGUUGCUGCCUUUCGCUUUGACUCGCCGGUUUUGGGUCGUCUUGCGUGCGGUUAAGUGACCUAGAUAUUUGUAUGAUUUUUUCGAACAGAUUUAAGUAAUUAUA
Molecule: unclassified non-coding RNA, 195 nt
Filed under: Glomeraceae sp.
Lineage: Eukaryota; Fungi; Glomeromycota; Glomeromycetes; Glomerales; Glomeraceae
Description: partial contains 5.8S ribosomal RNA and internal transcribed spacer 2
Rfam family: 5.8S ribosomal RNA (bases 1-71)
Source: RNAcentral